RNAcentral lists this ribosomal RNA (495 nucleotides) under uncultured bacterium. RNAcentral's name for it is "partial 16S ribosomal RNA". It matches the Rfam family "Bacterial small subunit ribosomal RNA", at positions 28 to 507 of the family's 1533-position model. The record is from RNAcentral.
GACGAACGCUGGCGGCGUGCCUAAUACAUGCCAGUAGAACGCUGAAGGAGGAGCUUGCUUCUCUGGAUGAGUUGCGAACGGGUGAGUAACGCGUAGGUAACCUGCCUGGUAGCGGGGGAUAACUAUUGGAAACGAUAGCUAAUACCGCAUAAUAGCAGUUGUUGCAUGACAACUGUUUGAAAGGUGCAAAUGCAUCACUACCAGAUGGACCUGCGUUGUAUUAGCUAGUUGGUGGGGUAAAGGCUCACCAAGGCGACGAUACAUAGCCGACCUGAGAGGGUGAUCGGCCACACUGGGACUGAGACACGGCCCAGACUCCUACGGGAGGCAGCAGGAGGGAAUCUUCGGCAAUGGACGGAAGUCUGACCGAGCAACGCCGCGUGAGUGAAGAAGGGUUUCGGAUCGUAAAGCUCUGUUGUAAGAGAAGAACGAGUGUGAGAGUGGAAAGUUCACACUGUGACGGUAUCUUACCAGAAAGGGACGGCUAACUACGUG